CUCGGAUGAGAGCAGCGGGCCAGUCCGCUCGGCGAUGGAGCCGCAGUGAAAGGGGUCGAUGACGAGAAGCGCCGAAUGACUCCGGAAAAUAGCGACUGUUAGUGUGAAUAUAUUUUUUUCCAGCUGGAAAAGUUCCCGGAAAUGAUGUUUUCAGACCCUUUUUGUGGCGCAAAAUUGCAAAGCUGUUUCCUUUGAAAAUGUCUGCAAAAAAGGGUUUCAAUAUGGCUCCCUGAAAGUCAUGUGACAAAUUAAAGCAUUGUUAUUGGUU
Molecule: long non-coding RNA, 268 nt
Organism: Dicentrarchus labrax (European seabass)
Lineage: Eukaryota; Metazoa; Chordata; Actinopteri; Moronidae
Exons: 2
Source: RefSeq, a predicted model, not a curated record